AGAGACGGGGUCUCACUAAGUUGCAUAGGCUUUGCUACUUUGCUGAGGCUGGCUUUGAACUUGUGAUCCUCCUGCCUAAGCCUCCUGAGCCCCUAGGAUUAUAGGCUUGCACUACCACACCCAGCCUGAGGUCUCUUUGUACACCAGAGGUAUGAUGGUCUCUCAUCUGCUUAAAACCCUUCACUAAGUCUCUGUUGCCUUGAAGAGAAAAUCUUCCCUCCCAAGCAUGGACUUCAUGUAGAGCAGAUGAAUAUCUCUUCAUGACCUCUGACUACCCCUGAACUCCUACCACAGCCCAUAUUCAUCCUGUUCUCCUGACAUUCUGACUUGCUUACAAUUUCCUGAACUGGCCAUGUUUCCCCCAAGUGGUUCCCUGGGCCCAGAAAAACCUUCUCUUGUGUCACUAUCCUCCCCCAAAAUACCCACACACCUGACUGUCACUCAUUUUCAGUGCAAUUCAAAUACCACUUUCUCUUAGAAGCUUUUCAAAAGUCACCUACCAUGCCUGGGACCACUAUCCUUGAGGUUCUUAUUGUCACUGAGGCAUGCUGCAUACACCCUCGGUGUGCCUCUAUUGCGCUUCUCAUCUGCAAUUUCUUGUCUGUCUCCUCGGGUAACAGGUAAUUCUCUGAACACAGGACCUUGUUACCUUGGUUCCCUGAGCAGUACCACUCAUGUGACCAGCAUUUCAUAAUGAUUUAUGAAAGUAUUGCUCUUCUGGAUAGUAAACAACAGAAACCAACCCUGAUAUUUAAGUUGGAAAGGAACUCAAUGAGAAGAUACUGGUGAGCUCACAGAAUUAACUGGAGAACCAAGAGAUUUUGUUCAGAGCUAAAGCAGCCAGUAAGAGGGCCCAAAUCAUUCCACAGAGCUACUCUUGUGACCACUGCUCUGUCCUCCAUGAAGGGCUGGAUCUUCCCCCAGCUCAAUUCUACAGCUGUGGCUUAUUUGUUUUACACACUGAGCAUGAUAUAAGAGAUCAUUUGCAGAAAGUGUUUACAGAUUAAAACAAAAACUAAAAUAAAGUCUUUUAAGAGAUGUCUAGGCACUGCUGAGUCCCCUAAUCAUGGAAGGCUUCAGUAAGUUUAAGUCACUAUGCUCUAGAGAAAUGAGCCAGGCAGGAAAUACCUCCAUUCUGUAGAGGAGUAAACCAAGACUCAGAGAAGUGAAGUGAGUUGUUCACUUAAUGGGCUCAUGAUUUGAAGCCCGUGUUCUGUCUGUGCUGCUGUGGACUUGUCAAUCAUCUACAGAGCAGAUGAUUAGGGGACUCAGCAGUGCCUUUUACCUGAGAGGUACUUAAUAAAUAUUUGUUGAAUGAACAAAUAAUUGAAUUUUGGUUCUACAGUUCCUUAACUACUAAAAUAAACCAACACUCUAUGUCUUGAUCAAAACACCUACGUAUGAGUACUAACUUAGGAGACGCCUAGACAUCUCUUAAAAGACUUUAUUUUAGUUUUUGUUUUAAUCUGUAAACCACUCUUUCCAAACAUUUGACAGUAAAGGUAAAGUAAAAGUAAAGUAAAGGAAACGGUUGACAGAACAGUGACUUGAGUAGAAAAGAGAAGACAGAGAAAGUUGGUGGGGCUGGAACUUGUAAGUUGGAGAUUUUAUAAAGAGAGAAGACAAUAAGAUGCAACACAGAGAAAUAUUUUAAAAUGCAAAAGUCACACACACCUAUAUUUGCUUUGGAGCAAAAUAUUCUGAGUUCAAAUUCUGGCUCUGCUUCUGACUAUUAAUUAGUAGUCUAAGUUUCUAAACCUAUGAAUAGUUUGUGACUCUUAUCAUUAAGUUUAGGCAAGAUGUCCUGUACUUGUGAGCCGGUAAGAGGCAAUCCUUCCCUGCCCACUUUCCCACAGCUCUCUGCUCUGCCCCACUCAAAACUAGAAGUGCUAGAUAAAAUACAUGUAAUGUGGGACAUACUAAAAAUAAUUCUUUAUUUUGAAUUUAACCAAGCAUCUUGUUUUUGUAUUUCCCAAAUCUGGCAAUGCUAUCCAAAAUAAAAUACCUUGUAUCCAAUGUGCCAUGACAGAAAUUUCAGACAAGUGUGAAGAGGUAAAAUGGGGAUGGUGCUGCCUCCUACUGGUAGAACCUGGCAAGACCAGCCAUCAUGUGUGCACCUGUUUCUUACCAAAAGCAGCAAGUCACAAGAUACAUAGUGGAUGAGAAGUGGAGUUUUAUGAACCUUUUAAUCUUUUAGUCUAAACUUGUUACUACCAUAGCCUACUAUCUUUUAAUUUUUACUGGUAUUGACUAUUCUUCUUAACUAUGUAGUUUUAUACUUUUUUUUGUCAGGGUUAGUAAAAUAUUACCGUACAUUCAGAACUUAGGAUUUCCUUUGGGAUUUCAAUAUGCUCAUUUUAUAUAUUUAAA
RNAcentral lists this long non-coding RNA (2370 nucleotides) under Marmota monax (woodchuck). Lineage: Eukaryota; Metazoa; Chordata; Mammalia; Rodentia; Sciuridae. The record is from RNAcentral.